This 389-nucleotide ribosomal RNA is filed under the name uncultured bacterium. RNAcentral's name for it is "bacterial SSU rRNA". It matches the Rfam family "Bacterial small subunit ribosomal RNA", at positions 30 to 420 of the family's 1533-position model. The record is from RNAcentral.
AUUGAACGCUGGCGGCAUGCCUUACACAUGCAAGUCGAACGGCAGCGGACCUUCGGGUGCCGGCGAGUGGCGAACGGGUGAGUAAUAUAUCGGAACGUACCUUUCAGUGGGGGAUAACGUAGCGAAAGUUACGCUAAUACCGCAUAUUCUGUGAGCAGGAAAGCAGGGGAUCGCAAGACCUUGCGCUGAUUGAGCGGCCGAUAUCAGAUUAGCUAGUUGGUGAGGUAAAGGCUCACCAAGGCGACGAUCUGUAGCGGGUCUGAGAGGAUGAUCCGCCACACUGGAACUGAGACACGGUCUAGACUCCUACGGGAGGCAGCACGUGGGGAAUUUUGGACAAUGGGCGCAAGCCUGAUCCAGCCAUGCCGCGUGAGUGAAGAAGGCCUCGG